AAACUACUCCCUUCGUCCGAAAAUACUUGUCGAAGAAAUAGAUGUAUUUAGACGUAUUUUAGUUCUAAAUAUAUCCAUUUGUAUUCAUUUCUCGGACAAGUAUUUCCAGACAGGGGGGGUACAUG
Non-coding RNA from Triticum aestivum (bread wheat), 125 nucleotides. The record is from Rfam. NCBI's taxonomy places the organism in Eukaryota, Viridiplantae, Streptophyta, Magnoliopsida, Poales, Poaceae.